UGAUCCCAUCACGCAUGGAACAUUCGAAUCAACCACACGCGUUCGCAUACAACCACCUUUCUCUGCUCCUCUAUUCACGUGAUAGCUGUAUACCCCCUCUCCCCGACACACACACACACACAAACACACGCACGCGCGCACACGGACACAGACACAGGGUCGCUCGAAGAAGAGGAAAACAAAGGAAAUGGCGGCACCGUUCGACAAGUCAAAAAAUGUGGCGCAGUCUAUCGAUCAGCUGAUUGGCCAGACGCCGGCGUUGUACCUAAACAAGCUGAACAAUACCAAGGCAAAGGUUGUGCUCAAGAUGGAGUGCGAAAACCCGAUGGCGUCCGUGAAGGAUCGCCUUGGCUUCGCCAUCUACGAUAAAGCGGAGAAGGAGGGCAAGCUGAUCCCUGGCAAGUCUAUCGUGGUCGAGUCGUCCAGUGGAAACACGGGUGUGUCGCUAGCGCACUUGGGUGCGAUUCGUGGCUACAAGGUCAUCAUUACGAUGCCCGAAUCCAUGUCUCUCGAGCGCCGCUGCCUGCUGCGUAUCUUCGGCGCCGAGGUAAUCCUCACCCCUGCCGCUCUUGGCAUGAAGGGUGCCGUGGCCAUGGCCAAGAAAAUCGUCGCCGCUAACCCCAACGCCGUCUUGGCGGAUCAGUUCGCAACCAAGUACAACGCCCUCAUACACGAGGAAACCACGGGGCCUGAGAUUUGGGAGCAGACGAACCACAAUGUCGACUGCUUCAUAGCCGGCGUUGGAACAGGUGGCACGCUGACAGGUGUGGCGCGGGCGCUAAAGAAGAUGGGCAGUCAUGCCCGCAUCGUUGCCGUGGAGCCGACGGAGUCACCUGUGCUGUCGGGUGGAAAACCAGGCCCGCACAAAAUUCAGGGCAUCGGCCCGGGCUUUGUGCCAGACGUGCUCGACCGCAGUCUCAUCGACGAGGUGCUUUGCGUGGCAGGUGAUGAUGCCAUUGAGACGGCACUGAAGCUCACGCGCAGCGACGGGGUCUUCUGCGGCUUCUCUGGUGGCGCCAACGUUUACGCGGCGCUGAAGAUCGCGGAGCGUCCGGAGAUGGAGGGCAAGACAAUUGUGACGGUCAUUCCGUCCUUCGGUGAGCGCUACCUCUCCACCACGCUGUACAGGAGCGUUCGGGAUGAGGUGUCGUCCCUGCCCGUAGUCGAUGCCUCGGAGCUGCAGGACUGAGCUACCAUCGGCAGCGCCGUCACUGCAGCCUUCGUGUGACGCGAAUGUGGAGAAGGAAAGGGCCAACGCUGGAGAUCCACGCCUGCAUAAGCAGGAGGGAUGGAGACAGAAGAUACGGUGGCAGUGGGAAUACGGUAGCGGAGCGCAACGCAUUUCUUGAUGCCUUUCAAGCCGCACACCGCCGCUGCCUUCUUUGCAGCUCCAGUAUCUGUUUGAAGCGCACGUGCAGCAAGCAGAGUGGUGGGAGCGGUGACCAUCGCCGGUGAUCAGGAGGAGGAUACCUCGCUUUCUCCUUCAUUCUCUUGUCCGCCUCUUCCUUUUUUUUUUCGGUGGUGCUCCUCUGCUACCACCUCAGUCUUACUGCUUAGCGUGUGUGACGGCCACCAUUUCGCGAAGGGUAUAUUUUAUGUGUGCUCGUGGUGGUGCAAUGAGGAGGUCUUGCCAUCCCUCUUCUCUUCCUCUUGCUUUCGUGAUAUUCAGUUUUCCUCUAUUAUCUGUGGUACUAUCACGUCCACCUACCCACCUACCCACCCACACACACGUACACUGGGCGAGAAAGGAAGCGAAAUAUAUCAGCUGUCUCUUUCUCUCUCUCUCGUCCUUCCUCAUAUGUGUUUCCAUCCAGCUCUGUAUGCAUACAGCUGAUGUAGCGCACUACGUCUUGUCCCGGGUCGCUCCUCCCAACGCGCGUGAGUUUGUGUCUAUAUAUCAGCAUGCGCGCUUCUCCUUUCUUGUUUGGUUUCUUUGCUUCUCUUUUUCGCCUUGUUCUACAAGACGUUUGUGAGUGGUUUCCUAGUGCUUCCUCCUGCCGGUUCCACCGGACUCUCCUCUCUCUAUGGUUGUGUGGGACCGUCGCGGAAGUGUUGCCGCAUGUUGACACACACACUCCCUCCUCACUGGGGUUCUGCAUAUGAAAGGUUCGUUUCCCGCGACGCGCGCGCGUAGUGCGGUAGAGCCGGCGAAACAGAUAAGUAGGCUGAUUCGAGUCGGCGUCGAAGAGAUGAACGAGUAGAUGGGGGAAGGUAGUGUGGAGAGGAGGAGGGAGGAGGCGAGGCGAGGGCCGCAUGCCCCUUUCCUGUCAACACGCAUCGGCUGUAGCUACCCUGAUCUGUCUUCUCAUCUCUUUCGAUGCUCAUCUGUGAAUGUACCGUCUUUUUUUUUUUUGCGUGCGUGCGCGUGUGCUUUCAGUGUUUUAUCGCCACUCAUCUCUACAGUGGAAGAAGGGGCUAUCACUUCCCAGCGUGGACCUUACACAACCGG
Molecule: unclassified non-coding RNA, 2449 nt
Filed under: Leishmania donovani
Lineage: Eukaryota; Euglenozoa; Kinetoplastea; Trypanosomatida; Trypanosomatidae
Description: gene:LdHU3.36.5060(CDS-product:cysteine_synthase)
Source: RNAcentral